This is a non-coding RNA of Zonotrichia albicollis (white-throated sparrow), 2742 nucleotides long. Lineage: Eukaryota; Metazoa; Chordata; Aves; Passeriformes; Passerellidae. The record is from RefSeq and is a predicted model, not a curated record.
GGAAUAAAGCAGCGGUUAAUUACCGUGUGCAGCACCGACCUGCCUUCCUUUCCCUGCGAUGGAAUCAGAGUCGCCAGCACGACACCGACUGCUCCAGCAAGCAGAACACAAACUGCGUGUGACACCUGCCUGUGCUUGGCACGGAGCAGCAGCCGGCUGCCAGCACAUUAAAAACAGCUCCUGGAGCCGGGCUGGGGCUGCACAGUGAGAGGUGCAGGGGAAGGUGCAGCUGCAUCGGGGCUGCACCCAAAGGAGGACGGGGAAGAGCAGCAGAGCCCAGCCAGGCCCAUCUCUAUCUCAACCAGCUGCUAUUGCCUCUGGAAAACAGACUCCAAAGCUUGCCCAAGUGCUGGAGAGAAUCCCAUCACAGUUUUUCUUAGAGAAAUCCGACACGAGCAAUAAUACAAUCUUGGAAAGAGAAUUGAAUUAUUUAUGGAGGAGCAGUGAAAUGAUGGAGACUAAACCUCUAUAUUUUAUGUAAUUUGUUUUCUCCUGAAGCCCGUUAUGUAAAAAUGUAAAUAUUGCUGGUUAUGUGUGUCGCUGCUCUUGCCAAAUGUUUAAUAUUUUAUCAAACCUGCUCCCAGCACUCGUCUCUUUUGGAAAGGACCCGUCCAUGUCCUCUGGAAUAAGUUCCAGUGAGUUUGUGGCAAUUAUAGAUUUACAACACUGCAAAAAAAUCUCCCUGAGGUGCCCAUGCUCCAGUCUGGGGCAUGGAAAUGGCACAACCCUCAGAAUUUGGGGGAAUUUUUAGGAGAGGGUUUAAUUUCAGGGAGGAUUUCCAGCAAUCUGGAUUGAGAUUGGGAUGGGAAAAGGCGUCUGAAGGUUUUCCUGGUUUUGGGGUCUGGACAUCCCUUCCAGGGCAGGAAGAAAUGAGCUGGUACCUAAACUCUCCUCAGUAGGGAUGCAGCCCUGGAGAUCUGGAGGCUCAGGGAUUGUGAGAUGAGAUCUGACCAAAAAAACCACUCAGCAAUGACCUGUUGCAGCAGAAAAAUGCCUUUUUUUCUUUUUUUUUUUUCCUCCUGGGGAAAAGGACUACGAGUUCGAGUGUGAGAGAAUUUUAAUUUAUCACCAAAAAAAUUCCAACAAGCUCCCACGGCUGGGUGAUGAAGUGGCCAAUCCAAAUGGGAAAUGUAUUUUUUUAACCAGGCAUAAUAAUUGAUGAUAAUUAACCUCUGGAAAAAAACUCUCCAGGGAAGGAGCAGCUUUUUGCCUUUGUGAAGGAAAAAUCUGGGCCUGGAUACUUUCCCUGGAGUUUUAAAGUGAGAUUCCAAAACCAGUGGAGGAAUUGCUUUGGCAAUUGGGGAAGAUAAAUGAGGGGUGCCCAAGGAGUGAAUGUGGGAUAUUCAAGGAUCAAAUAUGGGAUGUUCAAGGAUCAAAUGUGAGAUAUUCAUGGAUCAGAUGUGGGAAAUUCAAGGAUCAAAUGUGGGACAUUCAAGGAUCGAAUGUGGGACAUUCAAGGACCAAAAGUGGGAUAUUCAAGGAUCAAAUUUGGGACAUUCAAGGAUUGAAGGUGGGAAAUGCAAGGAUCAGAUGUGGAAAAUUGAAGGAUCAAAUGUGGGAUAUUCAAGGAUCAAAUAUGGGAUGUUCAAGGACAAAAUUUGGGACAUUCAAGGAUCAAAUGUGGGAUAUUCAAGGACCAAAAGUGGGACAUUCAAGGAUCGAAGGUGGGAAAUGCAAGGAUCAGAUGUGGGAAAUUAAAGGAUCAAAUAUGGGAUGUUCAAGGACCAAAAGUGGGAUAUUCAAAGAUCAAAUUUGGGACAUUCAAGGACCAAAUGUGGGAUGUUCAAGGACCAAAAGUGGGAUAUUCAAGGAUCAAAUAUGGGAUGUUCAAGGACCAAAUGCGGGAUGUUCAAGGACCAAAUGUGGGAUCCUUGAGGAAUGGAUUUGGGAUGCUUGAGGAACGAAUGUGAGGAGCUCGUUGCUGCUGGCUUCAGAAGAAAGAUCCCUGCACCAAGAGAACCCUAAAAUUUUGAGCUCUUGGAUGUUUUUGGCAAUGAUGUAGUUUAAAUACGCCCCACAUGUGCCUGCUCUUUUACAUCCCUGUUUUCCAAGAUGAGACGUGAGGAAGAUGAGACGCCAAGUGCGGAUGAUCCAGUGGUCCUUUGAUAUCACAGUGAUGGCUUUUCCAUCUGCCUCCCCUCCUCUCUUCCUUUCCACUUCUCCAGCUUCUGCAAAACCCAAAAUAUUUUCUGUCUGGCAUCCCCAGCUGGUUGAAACAACCGGCGACAGCUUUAUGGCUCCUCAUCUUUGCUCGCUUCUGUGGAAUAGUAAUAAGGGAGGGGAAAAACGUCCUGCUGGCUGAUUUACAAGGCAAGAAAUUCCUAUAAAUCAUUCCAACAUCUCCCAAGGACUGGGGGGAUGCUCUGAGUUCCUGCUGGCUUUCUCAGUGAUGCAAUGCAGUGAUUUUUUUUUUUUUAUUUCUUUUUGGAGGGGAGUGGGUGAGAUUCAUCCCAACCAGGCACAGCAUCUCUCUGUGAUUUUAUUGAUGGAUUCCAAGUGGGAGCCAUCUAUUUUCCCUUGCUCUUCAUUGGCCAACCCAAAGGACAUCAGUGUGUGGUUAGAGCCUGCUCCCAAGUAGGAAGUACAAACAGUGGAGAAAAUAUUUUCUGGGUGGAUUUAUUUUUGGGAUAAACUAGAAGGAGAGAUUUAGGAAUGUUGAUUAUUUUCAAGAGGUCAUUUGUUCUGGAAAACUGUAGAAAAAAAUUAAAUUGUUUUGGGUUCCUGGCCUUAAAUUUAAUUUGU